UAACCGUCGCCGUGAGGCGGCGCUGAACCUGCAGGAGUCAGCCGAGGUCAUAAUACGGCAGUAGGGGACGCCCGAACCCGGAAGGAC
Peptococcaceae bacterium BRH_c8a is the source of this 87-nucleotide non-coding RNA. The record is from Rfam. NCBI's taxonomy places the organism in Bacteria, Bacillati, Bacillota, Clostridia, Eubacteriales, Peptococcaceae.